UUAAUGUAUGAAAGGAAAAUAGUGCUUCCCUUAACAAGGGUGAAAAAGAUUUCAGCUUCCAACAGGCAUACUAUUACUGCAUUGCCACUUAAUUUAAGGCAUCUAAAAAUACUUUAUUUUU
Suncus etruscus (white-toothed pygmy shrew) is the source of this 121-nucleotide small nuclear RNA. NCBI's taxonomy places the organism in Eukaryota, Metazoa, Chordata, Mammalia, Eulipotyphla, Soricidae. The record is from RefSeq and is a predicted model, not a curated record.